This 64-nucleotide transfer RNA is filed under the name Epeorus herklotsi. Its description in RNAcentral is "tRNA-Ala". The record is from RNAcentral. Lineage: Eukaryota; Metazoa; Arthropoda; Insecta; Ephemeroptera; Heptageniidae.
AGGAUUGUAGUUAACGAUAAUAUUUGGUUUGCAUCCAAAAGGUGUUGAAAUUCAACCAAUCUUA